CUCCGGAACAGACUGUUUCUACCUGGAGUUUCAUUGUCAGAUAUGAAACUCCGCUCCUUGGGCCCUGUGCGGUUUGGCCCUUCUGGCAUUCCUGUGUAAUUGUGCCACAGCUGUGGAGAGACACUAUUACAUUACAGCUGUUAAUAUUAACUGGGACUACACAUCUGCUGGACAGCACAGGACUGGGCCGUCAUAUAAAAAAAGUAGUAUACAGAGAGUACAAUGAGGGAUUCACACAGGCUAAACCACAUCCCUUAUCCUCAGGUAUUUUGAAUACCAAAGAUUUCUUUAUUUCAACAUUAAAAUCCAUCCAUCCAGUAUUAUAGAAUGCAUCUUAACUUUUAAAUCAUGAUUGUUUGAAACUAAUGUUCUAUUGUUACUUGGGUCGACAUUGUGAGGACAAGAGGGUGACACAAUCAUUGUCACGUUCAAGAACAUGGCAGAUCAUCCCUGUAGCAUUCACCCACAUGGUAUUGCUUAUGGGAAGCAGUCAGAGGGAUCAUUAUACUUUGACAACACGUCACUCUAUGAGAAAGAAGAUGAUGUCAUUUUACCCAGCCAAGAGCACACAUUCCAGUAGGAGGUGA
RNAcentral lists this long non-coding RNA (587 nucleotides) under Sinocyclocheilus anshuiensis. Its description in RNAcentral is "lncRNA (ENSSANG00000025807.1)". Lineage: Eukaryota; Metazoa; Chordata; Actinopteri; Cypriniformes; Cyprinidae. The record is from RNAcentral.